CAGAUGUAAUGGCCAGCGGCGAAGCUCAUUUAGAAAAAUAUUGGUUUCUUUGAAUACUGCCGGAUAACAGGGAACAUGUGCAAUUUUCUCUGGGUAAAACGCUUGAGAGUGCAUGUCAGCAGCAGGACACAGAUCCUGGGCUCAGUCCAGAGCUGCUCUACACCGCCAGUCAUUUGUCAAAGGAUCUUUCUGCUCUCUCAGUCCACAGCCCAGACUUUCAGCCAGAAUGAAUGAUGGGAAUCACAGCAGAACUGGACCGCCGCUGAGACGUAUCUCAGCAAGUCUCGUCUGAGCCUGAUGACCCUCCUGUGACAUCAAAGUCAAUUAAGGCAUCUGUUUCAUUUUCAAAACCUGGUGUAUUUGGAUGCUGCAGUCUUGUGAGUGUGCGUUUGUGUUCUGUUGUUCAGAGAGAAUAUGUCAGCAACAGGAGGCUGUUCCUGGCCUUAGUCCAGAGAUGUUCAUGACUACCAGACUGAGGAAGACACCGUUUGUCAAAGGAUCUCAGGGGACAGUCCACUGGUCAAGCAGAACUUUAGCAAAAACACUCUUGCAUUUUACGACUCGAAAAUAAACUAAAAUAAACAUUCAUUCCAGUCAUAGUUACACACAAUAUGGUGUCAAGCUAUAUAGAUGUGUUUGUAUUUGAACAUAAUGGUUAAAGGAACAUUUUAUAACAUAUGGAUAUUGAAACAUGUAUUGAGAGAAUAUUAAAUGUUAAUUGUAUUUACACAUUCACAGCUUUAAUGUAAAAAUCUUUAAGAAUACUUUAUAUUAUAAAUGUAUUUGUAUAGUUACAUUUUACUUGUGAUGAAAUCUUUGAAAUGUGUUGAAUAUGGCAACAGAAAUAAUACUAAACAGGA
This is a long non-coding RNA of Cyprinus carpio carpio, 860 nucleotides long. Lineage: Eukaryota; Metazoa; Chordata; Actinopteri; Cypriniformes; Cyprinidae. The record is from Ensembl.